CGUGAGCAAUCUGCCUUGGAGUGGGGAAUAACGGCUGGAACAGCCGCUAAUACCGCAUGACGCGUCUGGGAGGCAUCUCUCUGGACGCCAAAGAUUUAUCGCUCUGAGAUGAGCUCGCGUCUGAUUAGCUGGUUGGCGGGGUAACGGCCCACCAAGGCGACGAUCAGUAGCCGGACUGAGAGGUUGGCCGGCCACAUUGGGACUGAGACACGGCCCAGACUCCUACGGGAGGCAGCAG
This 238-nucleotide ribosomal RNA is filed under the name uncultured bacterium. Its description in RNAcentral is "partial 16S ribosomal RNA". It matches the Rfam family "Bacterial small subunit ribosomal RNA", at positions 116 to 354 of the family's 1533-position model. The record is from RNAcentral.